ACCACGUGUGCAUUAUUUACAACAUACGUACAGCUAUAGAUUAGGUACCUUUGUGCAGUACCGGUAUGGUACCGAGCAUUUAUAGUUUAACAAUAAUAUAUUUUUAUUAAUGCAUGUACCUUAUAGCAUGAAAAAAAUCAUUUAAUCGCAUUUGGUUCGCCUUUAAACAUGUGAAUUUUAAACCUUGAAAUUCCGAUCGGGGAUCAGCAUUCAUAUAUAGUUUCGAGCGCCUGGGAUCCUGGCAGUGACGAGUACGUCAUAAGUAACAGAGAGAAGAGAAGCCGCACUCAGCACAGGCAAGCCUCUCUGUGAUGCACACACCCCGAGGAACCUGGCUGUUCAAAUCUCAGUUCAGCCCUUCAGGACAGUAUGAUGUUGUGGUCCAGUGGGAGGCAAAUGCAGUAUUCUACAGCUCGGCGGUCUUUCCCAGGUGUAGCAGCCUGUAGAUGUUCUGCUCAGCUUUUGAUCUCUGGCGUUCAGCCUGCUGGUCUGCCAGCAAGCUGUAGAUGGUCGUGAGUUUUCCCCAAGCUUUGCCCGGUUUAAUACUGGCUGUCAUCAUCAUCAACUGAUAGGAUGUUAUAUAUAGGGAGUAUAAGGAGAUAUACCCACUUCUGGUUUCAAGGAUGUCACUUCAGGUUAUGUAUUUGUAUAUUUACAAUCAUUGUCCAAAACUGCUACACAUACAAUUGUUUUGCAGAAAGUGCAAGUUGUUUGUUUUUUUUUUCCAUGUCCUACUUUUGGUUUGCAAAGGUAAAAUUUGCGUCUUUGCAUUGGCAUUAUUUGUUAAGGAGAUGUACCCACCUCCAGCUUUUAGGAUGUCACUUUCAGUUUUAUACAAAUUGCCAGAACUAAAUCAGACAGUGUAGAAACUAUGGCACAAGGGCUACACAAAAGGCAAAACUAUCCAGUGUGGCAAAAUAGUUACAACACUAAAAUAAAGAGUGUUAGUUUAUCCUGCUUGUGUGACUUUUAAGAAUGAGAAAAACAACAGUUUUUGAGUGUUAUCUGCUAUUCUCUGGGCAUCACAGAAAAAAAAUGGAACGAUAUUUAAGUUCAUCAGGCAAAACUUCAAUCUGACUGUGUACAGGUCAUUUUUGACGUCACAUGACUGAAUUUUUUAUUUUAUUUGAUUGGUGUUUUAUGCCUUGCUCAAGAAUAUUUCACUUAUAUCAUGGCAGUAAGUGUUCUGAUGGAAGGAAACCGGACUGAAGGAAACCACAACCUUCUCUUACUUUAAGAGGAAUACCACAUUCCAGUUGUAAAUGCCAUAAAUGUUACCAAAAAGUAUACUUUUUGUGAACCAAAGCCGUCAUGUUUUCUUAAUUUCUCUUGAUUAUGGGUAUUAAUUCAGUGAGGGGCAUUACCUGCUGUCAAUAGACAUACUGUGGACACUUUCAACACCAAGUGCACAGCAUGUGUUCAAACUGGCAUUCUGGUUUGUGUAAACAAGGAUUUGCAUUCAGUGUGCGUGAAACAUAUAUGGAUGUAUCAUUUUCCUUCUGAAGUACUAGUAUUAGAUUUGCCUGAUGAAAAAUGUUUUCUUCAUGCAGCUCUGCCAAAUAUAUGUUUUCUCAUUAAUAUCUGUGAUAUUUAUUGGCAGAUUGACAACUCCAUUUUCUGAUAUGGUGGAACAGCUUGCACUGUCAUCGUUGUCUUCAUGUCAUGGAACUUCAAGCAAAAUGCACGCCAUCAAUCCAAGACCUCAUACAGAAAUGCAUCCUACACCUUUCACAGACUUAAAUGUACUGUGUGCAGUGAUGCUCGAAUGACUAUACUCAGGAA
Liolophura sinensis is the source of this 1782-nucleotide long non-coding RNA. RefSeq lists it as uncharacterized. The record is from RefSeq and is a predicted model, not a curated record. The transcript has 4 exons. Lineage: Eukaryota; Metazoa; Mollusca; Polyplacophora; Chitonida; Chitonidae.